Long non-coding RNA from Cyprinodon variegatus (sheepshead minnow), 649 nucleotides. RefSeq lists it as uncharacterized. Lineage: Eukaryota; Metazoa; Chordata; Actinopteri; Cyprinodontiformes; Cyprinodontidae. The transcript has 3 exons. The record is from RefSeq and is a predicted model, not a curated record.
CCGCUGGAGCUUCAUUUCAAUCUGAAAAACUCACACAGAGAGAAAAGAUAAUUAGAAGAAUUUAUUGAUAAGAAAGUAUAGUCUUUGGCGCUCAGACCUCGGCAGGAACAUUCAUGCUGAAUUAUGCUUUAACAUGCAUGAGUAGAUGAAUGUGAAUAGGGAUGUUCCCCCCCGGGCCUGAAACUGGUGGUGGUUUAAUCCGAGCUGGUUGACAAGGUGAUCUGCUGGGCAGAAUUGUGGGACUAGAAGACUGAGGGAGCUGACGCCGGGGCUUCACUCAGACUCGGGAUAAAGAGGUCCUGCUUGGUGAUGCAGGUACCGUGAACUGUCCAUGAUGAGCAAGCAUGAAGCGACAGUGGAGAGGAAAAACUCCCCUUGGGAAGAAACCUCUGGCAGAACCGGGCUCAACAUGGUGGUCUUCUGCCGGACCAAUGCGAUGAGACGAGGGAUGGUGACAACUGGGAUUAAUACUCUCUGAUGAGGUUGAGGUGAAGUCGUGUCAUGGAGGACGAUUCAGCUGCGAUGGCGGAGAAGGGGAUGGAGGUGUGUGAAUUGUCGUCUGAAUCGAAGUCCAACAUUGCGAUUGCAGGAUAGCGGCUGUGGUGAGAUUUGAGGGAGUUUAUAAAGUGGAAGCAGGACGCUGAUUUGG